This 1386-nucleotide ribosomal RNA is filed under the name uncultured organism. RNAcentral's name for it is "partial 16S ribosomal RNA". It matches the Rfam family "Bacterial small subunit ribosomal RNA". The record is from RNAcentral.
GAACGAACGCUGGCGGCAGGCCUAACACAUGCAAGUCGAGCGAAGACUUCGGUCUUAGCGGCGGACGGGUGAGUAACGCGUGGGAACGUGCCCUUCACUACGGAAUAGUCCCGGGAAACUGGGUUAAUACCGUAUACGCCCUUCGGGGGAAAGAAUUUCGGUGAAGGAUCGGCCCGCGUCUGAUUAGGUAGUUGGUGGGGUAAUGGCCUACCAAGCCUACGAUCAGUAGCUGGUUUGAGAGGAUGAUCAGCCACACUGGGACUGAGACACGGCCCAGACUCCUACGGGAGGCAGCAGUGGGGAAUCUUAGACAAUGGGGGAAACCCUGAUCUAGCCAUGCCGCGUGAGUGACGAAGGCCCUAGGGUCGUAAAGCUCUUUCACCCGUGAAGAUAAUGACGGUAGCGGGAGAAGAAACCCCGGCUAACUCCGUGCCAGCAGCCGCGGUAAUACGGAGGGGGUUAGCGUUGUUCGGAAUUACUGGGCGUAAAGCGCGCGUAGGCGGGCUGUUAAGUCGGGGGUGAAAUCCCGGGGCUCAACCCAGGACGUGCGUUCGAUACUGCGUGGCUAGAGUACGGUAGAGGAAAGUGGAAUUCCUAGUGUAGGGGUGAAAUCCGUAGAUAUUAGGAGGAAUACCAAAGGCGAAGGCAGCUUUCUGGCCCGUAACUGACACUCAGACCCGAAAGCGUGGGUAGCAAACAGGAUUAGAUACCCUGGUAGUCCACGCCGUAAACGAUGGAUGCUUGUCGUUGGAGGAUUGAAACCUUCAGUGACGGAGCUAACGCGUUAAGCAUCCCGCCUGGGGAGUACGGUCGCAAGAUUAAAACUCAAAGAAAUUGACGGGGACCCGCACAAGCAGUGGAGCAUGUGGUUUAAUUCGACGCAACGCGAAGAACCUCAUCCUGGUCUUGACAUCUACUGGACGGCUCAUGGAAACAUGGCUUUCCCUUCGGGGACCGGUAGACAGGUGCUGCAUGGCUGUCGUCAGCUCGUGUCGUGAGAUGUUGGGUUAAGUCCCGCAACGAGCGCAACCCACGCCCCUUGUUGCCAUCAUUUAGUUGGGCACUCUAGGGGGACCGCCGGCGUCAAGCCGGAGGAAGGUGUGGAUGACGUCAAGUCCUCAUGGCCCUUAUGACCAGGGCUACACACGUGCUACAAUGGAACGUACAAAGGGUAGCCAAACCGCAAGGUGGAGCAAAUCUCAAAAAACGUUCCUCAGUUCGGAUUGAGGUCUGCAACUCGACCUCAUGAAGCUGGAAUUGCUAGUAAUCGCAGAUCAGCAUGCUGCGGUGAUACGUUCUCGGGUCUUGUACACACCGCCCGUCACACCACGAAAGUCGCUUGCACCAGAAGACGCUGUGGUAACUUCGGAGCUAGGCGUCCAAGGU